AAGUCGUAACAAGGUUUCCGUAGGUGAACCUGCGGAAGGAUCAUUAACACGUUCCACGUAUCAACCCCGCGCACUCGUUUUCACACGCUGAUUAAGCUCCACAUAGUCCUGCAAACCUCGAUUUUCAGCUCCGCACACACCGAUAAGGAAACAGGCUGCAUAAGCCUGGCGGCUGUCGAUGGCAAAUGUCCUUUCUCUCUCUGCGAGGAGAGAAGAAGGGGAGGCUGUGGAUGUCUGGUCAUGUCUUCUAUUCCUUGUCGAAUUUUUCACAACAUAUUUACCCCUUUCUGAAACGUACUAAUUUACACAUUUCUUUCUUUAGAAAUUUGUGGUCUUGUGCACUCUCUCUCGGGAGUGCUGAGCACCUCAACAACUAAGAAAAACCUUAAGAACAACUCUUAACAACGGAUAUCUUGGCUCUC
Molecule: unclassified non-coding RNA, 422 nt
Filed under: fungal sp.
Lineage: Eukaryota; Fungi
Description: partial internal transcribed spacer region
Rfam family: Eukaryotic small subunit ribosomal RNA (bases 1-46)
Source: RNAcentral